UACCUGGUUGAUCCUGCCAGUAAUCAUAUGCUUGUCUCAAAGAUUAAGCCAUGCAUGUCUAAGUACAUGCCGAAAUAAGGCGAAACCGCGAAUGGCUCAUUAAAUCAGUUAUGGUUCCUUAGAUCGUUUCUUCCUACUUGGAUAACUGUGGCAAUUCUAGAGCUAAUACAUGCAGUGAGCCUGAAGCCCUUUGGGCGACGGGUGCUUUUAUUAGACCAAGAUCGAUCGGGUUUCGGCCCGUAUUGUGUGGUGACUCUGGAUAACUUUGUGCUGAUCGCAUGGCCACGAGCCGGCGACGUUUCUUUCAAGUGUCUGCCUUAUCAACUUUCGAUGGUAGGUUACUUGCUUACCAUGGUUGUUACGGGUAACGGAGAAUCAGGGUUCGAUUCCGGAGAGGGAGCCUGAGAAACGGCUACCACAUCCAAGGAAGGCAGCAGGCGCGCAAAUUACCCACUCCCGGCACGGGGAGGUAGUGACGAAAAAUAACAAUACGGGACUCUUUUGAGGCCCCGUAAUUGAAAUGAGUACACUCUAAAUCCUUUAACGAGGAUCAAUUGGAGGGCAAGUCUGGUGCCAGCAGCCGCGGUAAUUCCAGCUCCAAUAGCGUAUACUAAAGCUGCUGCGGUUAAAAAGCUCGUAGUUGGAUCUCAGUUCCAGACGAGUAGUGCAUCUACCCGAUGCGACGGCUCGGACUGAACAUCAUGCCGGUCCUUUCUUGGUGCACUUCAUUGUGUGCCUCGAGAAGGCCGGUGCUUUUACUUUGAAAAAAUUAGAGUGCUCAACGCAGGCGAGUCGCCUGAAUAAACUUGCAUGGAAUAAUAGAACAAGACCUCGUUUCUGUUCUGUUGGUUUUUGGAAUACGAGGUAAUGAUUAAGAGGGACAGACGGGGGCAUUCGUAUUGCGGCGCUAGAGGUGAAAUUCUUGGACCGUCGCAAGACGAACUACUGCGAAAGCAUUUGCCAAGAAUGUUUUCUUUGAUCAAGAACGAAAGUCAGAGGUUCGAAGGCGAUCAGAUACCGCCCUAGUUCUGACCAUAAACGAUGCCAACCAGCGAUCCGCCUGAGUUACUCAAAUGACUCGGCGGGCAGCUUCCGGGAAACCAAAGUGUUUGGGUUCCGGGGGAAGUAUGGUUGCAAAGCUGAAACUUAAAGGAAUUGACGGAAGGGCACCACCAGGAGUGGAGCCUGCGGCUUAAUUUGACUCAACACGGGAAAACUUACCCGGCCCGGACACUGGGAGGAUUGACAGAUUGAGAGCUCUUUCUUGAUUCGGUGGAUGGUGGUGCAUGGCCGUUCUUAGUUGGUGGAGCGAUUUGUCUGGUUAAUUCCGAUAACGAACGAGACUCUAGCCUAUUAAAUAGGUGCGGGGUUCCCAGCACCUUACAACCUUCUUAGAGGGACAAGCGGCUCCUAGCCGCACGAAACAGAGCAAUAACAGGUCUGUGAUGCCCUUAGAUGUCCGGGGCCGCACGCGCGCUACACUGAAGGAAGCAGCGUGUCUUUAUCCCUGUCUGAAAAGACUGGGUAACCCGUGGAACUUCUUUCGUGAUUGGGAUAGGGGCUUGCAAUUGUUCCCCUUGAACGAGGAAUUCCCAGUAAGCGCGAGUCAUAAGCUCGCGUUGAUUACGUCCCUGCCCUUUGUACACACCGCCCGUCGCUACUACCGAUUGAAUGAUUUAGUGAGGUCUUCGGACCGAUGUCCGGCGCGGCCUUUCGGUUGCGCCGGUCUGUUGGAAAGAUGACCAAACUU
Molecule: ribosomal RNA, 1750 nt
Filed under: Dermacentor andersoni
Lineage: Eukaryota; Metazoa; Arthropoda; Arachnida; Ixodida; Ixodidae
Description: small subunit ribosomal RNA
Rfam family: Eukaryotic small subunit ribosomal RNA
Source: RNAcentral